GGCUCCUUGUAGUAAAUAAAUAAGGAGUCGGACCUGCCCAGUGAAAGUUUUUUAACGGCCGCGGUACUCUGACCGUGCAAAGGUAGCAUAAUCAUUUGCCUUAUAAUUGAAGGCUGGUAUGAAUGGUUUGACAAGAAUAUAGCUGUCUCUUUAUAAUUUAAUAGAAUUUUAUUUUAAGGUGAAGAAGCCUUAAUCAAAUUAAAAGACAAGAAGACCCUAUCGAGCUUGAAAGAAUUUAAUAGAAUAUAUAAUAUUAAUAAUGAGUUAAAAAAUUAUCUAUUAAAAAUUUUGGUUGGGGCGACUGAGGAACAAAAAUAGCUUCCUUUAAAACGUAAUAACAUACAUGUAUUGAUCCAAAAUUUUUGAUUAAAGAAAUUAGUUACCGUAGGGAUAACAGCAUUAUCCUCUUUGAGAGUUCUUAUCGAAAAGGGGGUUUGUGACCUCGAUGUUGGACCAGAAUAUCCUAAAGAUGCAGAAGUCUUUAAGGGUUGGUCUGUUCGACCAUUAAAAUUCU
Molecule: ribosomal RNA, 514 nt
Filed under: Polystira oxytropis
Lineage: Eukaryota; Metazoa; Mollusca; Gastropoda; Neogastropoda; Turridae
Description: LSU rRNA
Rfam family: Bacterial large subunit ribosomal RNA
Source: RNAcentral